This 353-nucleotide unclassified non-coding RNA is filed under the name soil metagenome. RNAcentral's name for it is "partial contains 5.8S ribosomal RNA, internal transcribed spacer 2, and large subunit ribosomal RNA". The stretch from base 1 to 120 matches the Rfam family "5.8S ribosomal RNA", at positions 35 to 154 of the family's 154-position model. The record is from RNAcentral.
GAUGAAGAACGCAGCGAAAUGCGAUAAGUAAUGCGAAUUGCAGAAUUCAGUGAGUCAUCGAAUCUUUGAACGCACAUUGCGCCCUUUGGUAUUCCGAAGGGCAUGCCUGUUCGAGCGUCAUUACAACCCUCAGGCCCCCGGGCCUGGCGUUGGGGAUCGGCGGAAGCCCCCUGCGGGCACAACGCCGUCCCCCAAAUACAGUGGCGGUCCCGCCGCAGCUUCCAUUGCGUAGUAGCUAACACCUCGCAACUGGAGAGCGGCGCGGCCACGCCGUAAAACACCCAACUUCUGAAUGUUGACCUCGAAUCAGGUAGGAAUACCCGCUGAACUUAAGCAUAUCAAUAAGCGGAGGA